This 568-nucleotide long non-coding RNA is filed under the name Homo sapiens (human). RNAcentral describes it as "long non-coding RNA NONHSAT173938.1". The record is from RNAcentral. Lineage: Eukaryota; Metazoa; Chordata; Mammalia; Primates; Hominidae.
GCCGCUGCCCCUUUCCCGGCCGGUGGCUGCCGCUGCCGGUGCCGCCGCCGCCGCCUCCUGGGGGCCGCGAGCCGAGCGGAGACCGCCGCGGAGCGCGAGCGCCGCCCGCCCCGCCGCCCCGCCGGCCGCUCCAGGGCCGGGCCGGCUCGGCCGGCGCCCCCCGCGCCCCCAGCCCGCCCGCCCCCGCGGGCCCGGCCUGGCGCGGCCGCCCGCCGCCGCGCUCCUCCUCCUCCUCCUCCAGCGCCCGGCGGCCCGCUGCCUCCUCCGCCCGACGCCCCGCGUCCCCCGCCGCGCCGCCGCCGCCACCCUCUGCGCCCCGCGCCGCCCCCCGGUCCCGCCCGCCAUGCCCGGCCCGGCCGCGGGCAGCAGGGCCCGGGUCUACGCCGAGGUGAACAGUCUGAGGAGCCGCGAGUACUGGGACUACGAGGCUCACGUCCCGAGCUGGGGUAAUCAAGAUGAUUACCAACUGGUUCGAAAACUUGGUCGGGGAAAAUAUAGUGAAGUAUUUGAGGCCAUUAAUAUCACCAACAAUGAGAGAGUGGUUGUAAAAAUCCUGAAGCCAGUGAAG